Molecule: ribosomal RNA, 468 nt
Filed under: uncultured bacterium
Lineage: Bacteria
Description: partial 16S ribosomal RNA
Rfam family: Bacterial small subunit ribosomal RNA
Source: RNAcentral
GACGAACGCUGGCGGCGUGCUUAACACAUGCAAGUCGAACGGAAAGGCCCUGCUUUUGUGGGGUGCUCGAGUGGCGAACGGGUGAGUAACACGUGAGUAACCUGCCCUUGACUUUGGGAUAACUUCAGGAAACGGGGGCGAAUACCGGAUAGGAGCUCCUGCUGCAUGGUGGGGGUUGGAAAGUUUCGGCGGUUGGGGAUGGACUCGCGGCUUAUCAGCUUGUUGGUGGGGUAGUGGCUUACCAAGGCUUUGACGGGUAGCCGGCCUGAGAGGGUGGCCGGCCACAUUGGGCCUGGGCUACGGCCCAGACCCCUACGGGAGGCAGCAGUGGGGAAUAUUGCACCAUGGGCGGAAGCCUGAUGCAGCAACGCCGCGUGCGGGAUGACGGCCUUCGGGUUGUAACCCGCUUUCGCCUGUGCCGAAGCGUGAGUGACGGUAAUGGGUAAAGAAGCACCGGCUAACUACGUG